RNAcentral lists this ribosomal RNA (468 nucleotides) under uncultured bacterium. RNAcentral describes it as "partial 16S ribosomal RNA". It matches the Rfam family "Bacterial small subunit ribosomal RNA", at positions 28 to 507 of the family's 1533-position model. The record is from RNAcentral.
GACGAACGCUGGCGGCGUGCUUAACACAUGCAAGUCGAACGGAAAGGCCCUGCUUUUGUGGGGUUCUCGAGUGGCGAACGGGUGAGUAACACGUGAGUAACCUGCCCUGGACUUUGGGAUAACUUCAGGAAAGUGGGGCUAAUACCUGAUAGGUGCUCCUGCUGCAUGGUGGGGGUUGGAACGUUUCGGCGGUUGGGGAUGGAGUUGCGGCUUAUCAGCUUGUUGGUGGGGUAGUGGCUUACCAAGGCUUUGGCGGGUAGCCGGCCUGAGAGGGUGACCGGACACAUUGGGACUGAGAUACGGGCCAGACUCCUAAGGGAGGCAGCAGUGGGGAAUAUUGCACAAUGGGAGGAAGCCUGAUGCAGCAACGCCGCGUGCGGGAUGACGGCCUUCGGGUUGUAAACCGCUUUCGCAUGUGACGAAGCGUGAGUGACGGUAAUGGGUAAAGAAGCACCGGCUAACUACGUG